UCAAGUAGGUUGCCGUGACAUGGCCAUACUU
Molecule: non-coding RNA, 31 nt
Filed under: Rattus norvegicus (Norway rat)
Lineage: Eukaryota; Metazoa; Chordata; Mammalia; Rodentia; Muridae
Source: RNAcentral